AGUGAACGCUGGCGGUAGGCCUAACACAUGCAAGUCGAACGGCAGCACAGUAAGAGCUUGCUCUUACGGGUGGCGAGUGGCGGACGGGUGAGGAAUACAUCGGAAUCUACUUUUUCGUGGGGUAUAACGUAGGGAAACUUACGCUAAUACCUCAUACGACCUACGGGUGAAAGCAGGGGAUCUUCGGACCUUGCGCGAUUGAAUGAGCCGAUGUCGGAUUAGCUAGUUGGCGGGGUAAAGGCCCACCAAGGCGACGAUCCGUAGCUGGUCUGAGAGGGUGAGCAGGCACACUGGAAGUGAGACACGGUCCAGACUCCUACGGGAGGCAGCAGUGGGGAAUAUUGGACAAUGGGCGCAAGCCUGAUCCAGCCAUACCGCGUGGGUGAAGAGGGCCUUCGGGUUGUAAAGCCCUUUUGUUGGGAAAGAAAAGCAGCAGGUUAAUACCCCGUUGUUCUGACGGUACCCAAAGAAUAAGCACCGGCUAACUUCGUG
RNAcentral lists this ribosomal RNA (492 nucleotides) under uncultured bacterium. RNAcentral's name for it is "partial 16S ribosomal RNA". It matches the Rfam family "Bacterial small subunit ribosomal RNA", at positions 29 to 507 of the family's 1533-position model. The record is from RNAcentral.